ACGGCUCACCAAGGCAACGAUGCGUAGCCGACCUGAGAGGGUGAUCGGCCACACUGGGACUGAGACACGGCCCAGACUCCUACGGGAGGCAGCAGUAGGGAAUCUUCCGCAAUGGACGAAAGUCUGACGGAGCAACGCCGCGUGAGUGAUGAAGGCUUUCGGGUCGUAAAACUCUGUUGUUAGGGAAGAACAAGUGCUAGUUGAAUAAGCUGGCACCUUGACGGUACCUAACCAGAAAGCCACGGCUAACUACGUGCCAGCAGCCGCGGUAAUACGUAGGUGGCAAGCGUUAUCCGGAAUUAUUGGGCGUAAAGCGCGCGCAGGUGGUUUCUUAAGUCUGAUGUGAAAGCCCACGGCUCAACCGUGGAGGGUCAUUGGAAACUGGGAGACUUGAGUGCAGAAGAGGAAAGUGGAAUUCCAUGUGUAGCGGUGAAAUGCGUAGAGAUAUGGAGGAACACCAGUGGCGAAGGCGACUUUCUGGUCUGUAACUGACACUGAGGCGCGAAAGCGUGGGGAGCAAACAGGAUUAGAUAC
Molecule: ribosomal RNA, 534 nt
Filed under: Bacillus cereus
Lineage: Bacteria; Bacillati; Bacillota; Bacilli; Caryophanales; Bacillaceae
Description: bacterial SSU rRNA
Rfam family: Bacterial small subunit ribosomal RNA
Source: RNAcentral